Molecule: ribosomal RNA, 253 nt
Filed under: uncultured prokaryote
Description: partial 16S ribosomal RNA
Rfam family: Bacterial small subunit ribosomal RNA
Source: RNAcentral
UACGGAGGGGGCUAGCGUUGUUCGGAAUUACUGGGCGUAAAGCGUACGUAGGCGGCUUUGUAAGUUAGAGGUGAAAGCCCGGAGCUCAACUCCGGAAUUGCCUUUAAGACUGCAUCGCUUGAAUCAUGGAGAGGUUAGUGGAAUUCCGAGUGUAGAGGUGAAAUUCGUAGAUAUUCGGAAGAACACCAGUGGCGAAGGCGACUAACUGGACAUGUAUCGACGCUGAGGUACGAAAGCGUGGGGAGCAAACAGG